This 779-nucleotide ribosomal RNA is filed under the name Lernentoma asellina. RNAcentral's name for it is "SSU rRNA". It matches the Rfam family "Eukaryotic small subunit ribosomal RNA", at positions 988 to 1784 of the family's 1831-position model. The record is from RNAcentral. Lineage: Eukaryota; Metazoa; Arthropoda; Copepoda; Poecilostomatoida; Chondracanthidae.
AGUUAGAGGUUCGAAGGCGAUCAGAUACCGCCCUAGUUCUAACCAUAAACGAUGCCAGCUAGCGAUCCGCGGGUGUUUUUUUUGUAGGCUCCGCGGGAAGCUUCCGGGAAACCAAAGCUUGUGGGUUCCGGGGGAAGUAUGGUUGCAAAGCUGAAACUUAAAGGAAUUGACGGAAGGGCACCACCAGGAGUGGAGCCUGCGGCUUAAUUUGACUCAACACGGGAAAUCUCACCAGGCCCGGACACUGGAAGGAUUGACAGAUUGAGAGCUCUUUCUCGAUUCGGUGGGUGGUGGUGCAUGGCCGUUCUUAGUUGGUGGAGUGAUUUGUCUGGUUAAUUCCGAUAACGAACGAGACUCUGUCCUGCUAAAUAGUUGUCGCGUCAUCUUUGCGCGGCAAAGAUCUUCUUAGAGGGACUGGUGGCUUUUAGUCACACGAGAUUGAGCAAUAACAGGUCUGUGAUGCCCUUAGAUGUUCUGGGCUGCACACGCGCUACACUGAAGAGAUCAGCAUGUUUACCCUUCCCGAGAGGGAUGGGAAACCCGUUGAACCCUCUUCGUGGUAGGGAUCGGAGCUUGCAAUUAUUCUCCGUGAACCAGGAAUUCCCAGUAAGCGCAAGUCAUAAGCUUGCGUUGAUUACGUCCCUGCCCUUUGUACACACCGCCCGUCGCUACUACCGAUUGAACGUUUUAGUGAGGUAUUUGGACUGGUUUCCCAUUGCCUUUUUGUGUCAAUGGCGUUUACUGGAAAGACUCCCAAACUUGAGCGUUUAGAGGAAGUA